Molecule: small nuclear RNA, 162 nt
Organism: Struthio camelus australis
Lineage: Eukaryota; Metazoa; Chordata; Aves; Struthioniformes; Struthionidae
Gene: U1
Rfam family: U1 spliceosomal RNA
About the family: U1 is a small nuclear RNA (snRNA) component of the spliceosome (involved in pre-mRNA splicing). Its 5' end forms complementary base pairs with the 5' splice junction, thus defining the 5' donor site of an intron.
Source: Ensembl
GUCGGUACCUGGCCGAGAGGGCACCAUGGUCCUGAAGGUAAUCUACCUGAGGUGAGGCUCCAGUGUGCUCUGGGUAUGCCGAUCCCGGAGAUUUCCCAAAUGCAGGAAACUCAACUGCGUAAUUUGUGUGUACGUGUCUUUCUUGUUGCGUGAUGUGACAAA